RNAcentral lists this transfer RNA (72 nucleotides) under Lachnospiraceae bacterium G41. It matches the Rfam family "tRNA". From Rfam's summary of the family: Transfer RNA (tRNA) molecules are approximately 80 nucleotides in length. Their secondary structure includes four short double-helical elements and three loops (D, anti-codon, and T loops). RNAcentral also lists the same sequence under 2 other names. The record is from Rfam by way of RNAcentral. Lineage: Bacteria; Bacillati; Bacillota; Clostridia; Lachnospirales; Lachnospiraceae.
GCACCCGUAGUCUAAUGGAUAGAAUAUUGGCCUCCGACGCCAAGGAUGCAGGUUCGAUUCCUGUCGGGUGCA